GACGAACGCUGGCGGCGUGCUUAACACAUGCAAGUCGAACGGAAAGGCCUCUUUCGGGGGGUACUCGAGUGGCGAACGGGUGAGUAACACGUGAGUAACCUGCCCUUGACUUUGGGAUAACUUCAGGAAACUGGGGCUAAUACCGGAUAGGAGCUCCUGCUGCAUGGUGGGGGUUGGAAAGUUUCGGCGGUUGGGGAUGGACUCGCGGCUUAUCAGCUUGUUGGUGGGGUAGUGGCUUACCAAGGCUUUGACGGGUAGCCGGCCUGAGAGGGUGACCGGCCACAUUGGGACUGAGAUGCGGCCCAGACUCUUACGGGAGGCAGCAGUGGGGAAUAUUGCACAAUGGGUGGAAGCCUGAUGCAGCAACGCCGUGUGCGGGAUGACGGCCUUCGGGUUGUAAACCGCUUUCGCUCAUGACGAAGCUUUGUGUGACGGUAGUGGGGAAAGAAGCACCGGCUAACUACGU
RNAcentral lists this ribosomal RNA (466 nucleotides) under uncultured bacterium. RNAcentral's name for it is "partial 16S ribosomal RNA". It matches the Rfam family "Bacterial small subunit ribosomal RNA", at positions 28 to 506 of the family's 1533-position model. The record is from RNAcentral.